This is a long non-coding RNA of Talpa occidentalis (Iberian mole), 284 nucleotides long. RefSeq lists it as uncharacterized. The transcript has 3 exons. NCBI's taxonomy places the organism in Eukaryota, Metazoa, Chordata, Mammalia, Eulipotyphla, Talpidae. The record is from RefSeq and is a predicted model, not a curated record.
AUAAAAAGCUUAGGUUAAUUCUGGAUUUCAUUUCAGGUGUGAAAGGGAGACACCGGCGCUCGCUGAUUGGAAUCAGUUUGGUUAAGGAGGUGUUCUGUCCCCUAAACUCACCAGAUCAUCUCUCCAACUUGGCUCAGAUGCCAGCUUUGAUUUCUUCAGUCAGAAGGCACCUAUCCUUCCUGCUACGUCAGAAGCCGGGAGGGCGAGAGAAUUCACCAGAGCCAGAGCCGGGAGUAGAGCAGGCAGAAGGAUCGAAGUACACUGCUGAGGGGAGCAGCGGGCGG